RNAcentral lists this ribosomal RNA (298 nucleotides) under Amblyomma maculatum (Gulf Coast tick). Its description in RNAcentral is "partial 16S ribosomal RNA". The stretch from base 153 to 298 matches the Rfam family "Bacterial large subunit ribosomal RNA", at positions 2473 to 2619 of the family's 2925-position model. Lineage: Eukaryota; Metazoa; Arthropoda; Arachnida; Ixodida; Ixodidae. The record is from RNAcentral.
UAAGGACAAGAAGACCCUAAGAAUUUUAAAAAUUUCAAUAAAAUGCUGUAUUUUAUUGAAAUUUUUUAAUUGGGGCGAUUAUUAAAUAUUAAAAACUUUAAUUUUUUUAAAAAAGAACCAAUAAUAUUGGCUAUUUGAAAAAAUACUCUAGGGAUAACAGCGUAAUAAUUUUUGAUAGUUCUUAUAGACAAAAUAGUUUGCGACCUCGAUGUUGGAUUAGGAUUCUUUUUUAAUGAAGAAGUUAAAAAAAGAAGUUUGUUCAACUUUUAAAAUCCUACUUGAUCUGAGUUCAGACCGG